Molecule: ribosomal RNA, 253 nt
Filed under: uncultured bacterium
Lineage: Bacteria
Description: partial 16S ribosomal RNA
Rfam family: Bacterial small subunit ribosomal RNA
Source: RNAcentral
UACAGAGGGGGCGAGCGUUGUUCGGAAUUACUGGGCGUAAAGGGCGCGUAGGCGGCCAACUAAGUCAGACGUGAAAUCCCUCGGCUUAACCGGGGAACUGCGUCUGAUACUGGAUGGCUUGAGUUCGGGAGAGGGAUGCGGAAUUCCAGGUGUAGCGGUGAAAUGCGUAGAUAUCUGGAGGAACACCGGUGGCGAAGGCGGCAUCCUGGACCGACACUGACGCUGAGGAGCGAAAGCCAGGGGAGCAAACGGG